RNAcentral lists this long non-coding RNA (718 nucleotides) under Anas platyrhynchos platyrhynchos (common mallard). Its description in RNAcentral is "lncRNA (ENSAPLG00000024609.1)". Lineage: Eukaryota; Metazoa; Chordata; Aves; Anseriformes; Anatidae. The record is from RNAcentral.
GAAAAUCUUGUCUGCCUGGACUUUACAUACAUAUGUAUAGUACAUACAUGACUCUGCUAAUUACAAACAGAGGAGAUAACAAUUAGUAAAGGCAUUCAACAACAUAUGUAACAUUUCAAGGAAGGGGAAAUGGGUAAUAGUUGUUGAUGCUAGGGAAACUGGAAAGCUGGAGAAAGAUUAAUAGCAGAUUUUUUUUUGAAGGAUCAGGUGGGAAAGUGAUCUUGCUUUGUAUUUCCAUUGGCGAUGCUGACACAGAAAGUAGAGGAACACUGAUGAUGAAAUUUGGAGGUCCCAUUAAUACAGCUUUGAAGCCAAUGACCUAAAGUUUAAUGGAACUGUAAUAUUCAAUGAAGCUCAAAGAAUUAUACAGGAAAUGUAACAUGAACAUGGAGCAUUAGUGGAGAAAAUCGUACUCUUCUAACAAUAUGUACUAACUUUAAACCAAAAAAGGAUCCACAUUAUACUGUUUGACAUUAAAUUCUUGGAUCAGAUCCCUACCUGUUGUAAUCUAAUAGAAUUCCAAAGUAUAAUGAGCAACUUCUUAUUGAUGGGGAUAUUAAGAGAAAUAAGAUCGUGGCACUGCAGGAUGUUAUUGUCAAGUGUCUUAUUGUGGAGGUCAGCAACACAUGAAUACAGCUGGAGAAGAGGAAAAACUUACAAAAGAGAGAAAAGAGAAAAUUAUUUUUGUAUGCCUGUGAGAUUGAGCUUCAGUUGGUAG